AAAAGACAAGCCCCAGUGCACAAGUGCUUUCCAAACUUCUGCUUGCCUGAUGUUUCUUAAUGUCUCCUUGGCUGAAGCAAUGGCCAAGCCCACAUUCAAGAGCUAGAGACAGAGCUUAUACCUGUUGAUGGGAGGAAGAGCAGAGUCACAUUGCAAAGGGGUAUGCCUACAAUUUUGGAAGGAAUUCGUGGACAUUCGGCAAUUUCUUACAGACAUGUGACACUUUCGGGCUGAAGCACUUAAGAGCCAGUGUGCCCUGUCCAUUUCUGUCUUCUGUCCUGUGGAUUUGGAAGCAUGUGUUGACAGAACAAUGUCUUAUGGUGAAGGAAGCCUAAACCCCUGAGUCAUUGGAUGGAGGAGAGCCCAUGUUGACCCAUAAAGGACUUCAUGGUCUCGCUCUGUCACCCAGGCUGGAGUGCAGGCGUGCUAUCUUGGCUCACUGCAACUUCUGCUUCCCGAGUUCAAGAGAUCCUCAUACCUCAGCCUCCUGAGUAGCCGGGACUACAGGCAUGCGCCACCACACCCAGGGUGGGGACUCUCGUGGAAAGGCUAGAUGAUGGAGUCACGUGCUCCCUUCCCGUUCACUAGCUGCUGAUUGGCCAACUGCUCCUGCCAGCUGUCCCUGCACUCCAGCUUCCUACCAUAUGCUCCAGAAUAACGUCUGGAAAGUGAGCCCCAUCCAUCAAGUUUGUCACACCUUGCACUCAAUCUGCUACCUUCUCUACAGUAUUUGUCCACGUCUCUGCCCUGCUUCAAAUCCUUCAGAGGCUCCCCAUCACCCACAGGGAUGAUCUUUCUGAAAUGGAUUUGGCCAUGCCAGUCUCCUGCCUGAAACAGCCCUCCUGGCUCCUUGUCACUCAAAGGAAAAGGCAAACUCCUCAAGACUGCACAUAAUGCCCACCUUCCCAACCAGCCUCUCCUACUGCCACUCUCUCUCCUACACCCUACCUUCCAAACCCUACUUGGGGUUCACCCUCACAUGCUGGAGUUUUCCCAUCUCUGAGACUUCAUUCAGGCAGUUCCUUCUGGCUUCGGAGGCUUCUUUGUUCCUAAAGUUCAUACUUUAAGACCUAGCUGAAAUAUCAAGGCUUCCUGGACUCUGCAGGUGACACGAGCCACUGUGCUCCUGGAUGCUUCAGAACCUGUGCAGAUCUCUGUCUUCACUCCUACUAUGGCAUCUCCUAGCAUGUUCUACACUGAGCUCCACUGGGCCUUGCAUGUCAGUAUCCCGAAUUCUGAAUGAAGCUUGGAACAUGGGAGGUGCAUCCACUAACAACAUGAAGAAUGAAGACAUGUAUUGACUACCUUUGACAAAAGUAUGUCAAAAGCAAUACAUCUUACUAGUGGAGCGAAGACACUGCAUGCUGACAAAGGUGAUCUCAGAUGUGAGGUCGAUGGUGCGCCAUGCAAUCAGCUUGCUGAGUGAGCCUACUUAUGCCCCAUCCCGGGGGCCUAGGGUAAGAAAAGUGCCAAGCGAAGCUGAGGAUCAGACUAAAGCUGGAAGGUGUCAAGGCACAGGCUGAGUCAUCAGAACACCUUCCCUGAAUUGUGUCAAACAAGUGUACAUGUGCUCAAGUGUAUCUGGAUUCUGAUUUGGCUGCACAGUCACUGUUUUCCAGAUGUUUGCAGAAGAAAUAUGAGCUGGAGGAGACUCACUGAAAGCUGGAACUAGAAGGAUGCACACUGCUCAUCCAAGCCAAUUCACUUAUUUUACCAAUGAUAAAACUGAGUCUCAGAGAAGUCAUACGCUUGCCCAAAGACACAGCUUGUGGUGGAGGAGUCAACACCAGAACUCUGGUCCAGGACUGCAAAAAAACACUUAACAUGUGCUAAUAAUGAGGAUAAAAGAUACUUCAAAUUCUGGGAGUUCUAUAAUGUUUGAGCACAUAUACCAUUGAAUCCUUUUAAUAACCCAUCGCUUACACAGAUGAGGAAACCAAGGCUCAUAGAAAUAAAGUGCUUUGCCAAAAGGCACAAAACUGGUCAGUAAUAAAUCUGAUCUCCAGGUUCCCAGUCCAGAACUUUCUGCAGCACUAUCUUUUUGUUCCCUUUAACUACCAGAAGCUUUAACCCAAAAUGAGGCUUCAACUAUAAAAGCUAUUUAAGACCUUAUGGCUGCGUAUCUCUGCCCUAAGUUUUCUCUUGAUCCUUAUUUUAUAUUCUAAUGUUUAAAACUUGUUCCCCAAAUUUUUAAAGUUUGCAUUCAUUUUAUUUCAAUAAGCCACGCCAAAAUCUGUGUGUCAUAAGCUAUCUAUACGUAAAUAAAUGAACGAAUGAAUGAGCAAACAAACAAAAUCUUAAGAGGCAGAGUAACAUGGUGGAAAAAUACCAGGCUUACAUUCAAUUCAAUACCACUUUGUCUAUUGUCUUCAUCUUUGAGCCUCACUUUCAUUAUCUGUCAAACAGGUCUAACAAAAUUUAUCAUUAAGCAUUAUUAUAAGUCUAAAAAUAAACAUGGAACAUAUGAAGAAGGUUUGUAUGUUAUCAGUGGUAUCUAAAUUGGCAGCUCAUAGUAGUAUUACUAGUAAUAAUAAUAUAAACAAAGAAGCCUGAUUAAUGCAAGUGAGAUGAGUUAUUUGACUCCAGAAACCCCGCCUCCAGACAUGAGUUACGGCUCUCAUUGGGUUUUAUG
This 2632-nucleotide long non-coding RNA is filed under the name Homo sapiens (human). RNAcentral describes it as "HSALNT0007323". The record is from RNAcentral. Lineage: Eukaryota; Metazoa; Chordata; Mammalia; Primates; Hominidae.